UUUAGCUCUUGCUGGAUUUACCAUUUUGAUUUUACAAUUUGAAGAGACAGAGAAGCAUUCGUGCCUUUAGGUUAUUGCCGCGUUAGCUGAAAACAUUUAGAGUUUUAUAUCUACUCCGUAUUGCAUGUUCAUUUCUAUUGAACUAUUUUCUUUGGCAAAACCCCAUUAGUGACUACCCAUGUUCUUUGGCUCUAGGUAAGCGUAUCAGUUUUG
RNAcentral lists this unclassified non-coding RNA (213 nucleotides) under Hevea brasiliensis (rubber tree). Lineage: Eukaryota; Viridiplantae; Streptophyta; Magnoliopsida; Malpighiales; Euphorbiaceae. The record is from RNAcentral.